CGUGUAGGCGGGUCUUUAAGUCAGGGGUGAAAUGCCAAGGCUCAACCUUGGAACUGCCUUUGAUACUGGAGAUCUUGAGUCCGGGAGAGGUGAGUGGAACUGCGAGUGUAGAGGUGAAAUUCGUAGAUAUUCGCAAGAACACCAGUGGCGAAGGCGGCUCACUGGCCCGGAACUGACGCUGAGACGCGAAAGCGUGGGGAGCAAACAGGAUUAGAUACCCUGGUAGUCCACGCUGUAAACGAUGGAUGCUAGCCGUUGGGGAGCUUGCUCUUCAGUGGCGCAGCUAACGCUUUAAGCAUCCCGCCUGGGAUACGGUCGCAAGAUUAAA
RNAcentral lists this ribosomal RNA (328 nucleotides) under uncultured bacterium. Its description in RNAcentral is "bacterial SSU rRNA". It matches the Rfam family "Bacterial small subunit ribosomal RNA", at positions 568 to 898 of the family's 1533-position model. The record is from RNAcentral.